Molecule: ribosomal RNA, 1233 nt
Filed under: Triticum aestivum (bread wheat)
Lineage: Eukaryota; Viridiplantae; Streptophyta; Magnoliopsida; Poales; Poaceae
Description: partial small subunit ribosomal RNA
Source: RNAcentral
AUGGCGAACGAGCACUUCUUCCCCGGCGAGUACUUUUCCUCCGGCCUCGCGGCGCCGUUCCUUGGCGCAUCUUACGUGCAGCCGCCGCGUUCAGGGUUCGAAGCCGCCGCGGCUAUGGCCUUCGGGCUGCCGUGGGCAGCCGACCAGCAUCUUCCAGUAGACUCCUCAGCCACCACGGCGCACUUUGACUCCGCGCUCAGCUCUCUGGUCUCGUCUCCUGCCAGCGCCACCGCCGGCGGAGGCUUAGGCUUCGCGCACGGCUGCGAGGAUGACGUCGCCAUCGGCGACCUGAUCGGCCGGCUCGGCAGCAUCUGCAACGGCGCCAGCGCCAACAACUCCUGCUACAGCACGCCUAUCAGCUCCCCUCCACGCGGGGCGCCGCAGGCGUUCCGGGGCUACGGCGCCAUCGCCGCGCUGGAGACCGGCAGGCUAUCCCGGGUGUCAAGCAGCAAGUCGCUCGUCGGCAACACCUCCGGCGUUGCCGCGACGGCGCCAUUGGAUCAGAGCGCCCAACUGGAGAUGAGCCCCGAGACGGACAGCCAGCCCGCAACCGCAAUGCAGGACCCGCACACGAAAAAGGGCGCCGCCGGUUCCGCGCGGAAGCGCAAGGCGGCCCCGGCGAAGGGCAAGGCGAAGGCUUCUUUACCCGCAGUACAGCCCAGUUGCUCCAUGGCGGCAAUCAAUACGAGCCCGCCGAAGCGGCCUAGGGUGGCCGACGGCGGCGACGAGGAAAACGCCGGGGCGGUGGAGGAGGAGGAGAAGGCCGAGCCGGCCAAGGACUACAUCCAUGUGAGGGCGAGGAGGGGGCAGGCAACCGAUAGUCACAGCCUCGCCGAGAGGGUGAGGAGGGAGAAGAUCGGUGAGAGGAUGAAGCUGCUGCAGUCCCUGGUGCCAAGCUGCAACAAGAUCACCGGCAAGGCACUCAUGCUCGACGAGAUCAUCAACUACGUCCAGUCGCUGCAGCGUCAGGUCGAGUUUCUGUCCAUGAAAUUGUCGACCAUGAAUCCUCAGUUGGAGCUCGACGAGCAGCACAUCCCGUCCAAAGAGAUGAACCAGAUGGCAGUGCCCGGCUUCUCCUACGCCGGUUCACCCGUCGCCGUCGCGACCGGCCACGGCCACGGGGCAGAGCUAGAAGGCACCUUCAGCUGGGAGCAUGACCUCCAGAGCAUGGUGCAGAUGGGGGGAGCCAGCAGCAGCCAUAGGCAGGACCCCCAAGCUUUCUACGGCGAGUGA